AUGGUUCAGUGGUCAGAGAUCUGCAAACCUCGCGACAAGGGCGGACUCGGGAUCAUGUCUUCUAAACGCAUGAACAUUGCCCUCCUGACACGGUGGCUUUGGCGGAUUGCCAACGGAGAUGGUGGCCUAUGGCUUCGCAUCAUUCAGCAGAAAUACCUCCGCGGCCAGCCUCUUGCCUUCUGCCAGCGGUCUGUGGGCUCCCAGUUCUGGCAAUCCAUUAUCUAG
This 225-nucleotide ribosomal RNA is filed under the name Triticum aestivum (bread wheat). RNAcentral describes it as "partial small subunit ribosomal RNA". Lineage: Eukaryota; Viridiplantae; Streptophyta; Magnoliopsida; Poales; Poaceae. The record is from RNAcentral.